AGAGUUUGAUCCUGGCUCAGGAUGAACGCUAGCGGCAGGCUUAACACAUGCAAGUCGAGGGGUAGAGGAAGCUUGCUUCCUUGAGACCGGCGCACGGGUGCGUAACGCGUAUGCAACCUACCUUUUACAGAGGGAUAGCCCAGAGAAAUUUGGAUUAAUACCUCAUGGUAUAUAUCAUUCGCAUGUUUGAUAUAUUAAAGUUCCAACGGUAAAAGAUGGGCAUGCGUCCUAUUAGCUAGAUGGUAAGGUAACGGCUUACCAUGGCAACGAUAGGUAGGGGUCCUGAGAGGGAGAUCCCCCACACUGGUACUGAGACACGGACCAGACUCCUACGGGAGGCAGCAGUGAGGAAUAUUGGACAAUGGGCGCAAGCCUGAUCCAGCCAUGCCGCGUGCAGGAAGAAGCAUCUAUGGUGUGUAAACUGCUUUUGUACGGGAAGAAACACUCCUUCGUGAAGGAGCUUGACGGUACCGUAAGAAUAAGGAUCGGCUAACUCCGUGCCAGCAGCCGCGGUAAU
RNAcentral lists this ribosomal RNA (517 nucleotides) under uncultured bacterium. RNAcentral describes it as "bacterial SSU rRNA". It matches the Rfam family "Bacterial small subunit ribosomal RNA", at positions 8 to 524 of the family's 1533-position model. The record is from RNAcentral.